This 1367-nucleotide ribosomal RNA is filed under the name Bacillus cereus. RNAcentral's name for it is "bacterial LSU rRNA". It matches the Rfam family "Bacterial large subunit ribosomal RNA", at positions 1552 to 2925 of the family's 2925-position model. RNAcentral also lists the same sequence under 1 other name. The record is from RNAcentral. Lineage: Bacteria; Bacillati; Bacillota; Bacilli; Caryophanales; Bacillaceae.
AAGGCUGAGCUGUGAUGGGGAAGCUCCUUAUGGAGCGAAGUCUUUGAUUCCCCGCUGCCAAGAAAAGCUUCUAGCGAGAUAAAAGGUGCCUGUACCGCAAACCGACACAGGUAGGCGAGGAGAGAAUCCUAAGGUGUGCGAGAGAACUCUGGUUAAGGAACUCGGCAAAAUGACCCCGUAACUUCGGGAGAAGGGGUGCUUUCUUAACGGAAAGCCGCAGUGAAUAGGCCCAAGCGACUGUUUAGCAAAAACACAGCUCUCUGCGAAGCCGUAAGGCGAAGUAUAGGGGGUGACACCUGCCCGGUGCUGGAAGGUUAAGGAGAGGGGUUAGCGUAAGCGAAGCUCUGAACUGAAGCCCCAGUAAACGGCGGCCGUAACUAUAACGGUCCUAAGGUAGCGAAAUUCCUUGUCGGGUAAGUUCCGACCCGCACGAAAGGUGUAACGAUUUGGGCACUGUCUCAACCAGAGACUCGGUGAAAUUAUAGUACCUGUGAAGAUGCAGGUUACCCGCGACAGGACGGAAAGACCCCGUGGAGCUUUACUGUAGCCUGAUAUUGAAUUUUGGUACAGUUUGUACAGGAUAGGCGGGAGCCUUUGAAACCGGAGCGCUAGCUUCGGUGGAGGCGCUGGUGGGAUACCGCCCUGACUGUAUUGAAAUUCUAACCUACGGGUCUUAUCGACCCGGGAGACAGUGUCAGGUGGGCAGUUUGACUGGGGCGGUCGCCUCCUAAAGUGUAACGGAGGCGCCCAAAGGUUCCCUCAGAAUGGUUGGAAAUCAUUCGUAGAGUGCAAAGGCAUAAGGGAGCUUGACUGCGAGACCUACAAGUCGAGCAGGGACGAAAGUCGGGCUUAGUGAUCCGGUGGUUCCGCAUGGAAGGGCCAUCGCUCAACGGAUAAAAGCUACCCCGGGGAUAACAGGCUUAUCUCCCCCAAGAGUCCACAUCGACGGGGAGGUUUGGCACCUCGAUGUCGGCUCAUCGCAUCCUGGGGCUGUAGUCGGUCCCAAGGGUUGGGCUGUUCGCCCAUUAAAGCGGUACGCGAGCUGGGUUCAGAACGUCGUGAGACAGUUCGGUCCCUAUCCGUCGUGGGCGUAGGAAAUUUGAGAGGAGCUGUCCUUAGUACGAGAGGACCGGGAUGGACGCACCGCUGGUGUACCAGUUGUUCUGCCAAGGGCAUAGCUGGGUAGCUAUGUGCGGAAGGGAUAAGUGCUGAAAGCAUCUAAGCAUGAAGCCCCCCUCAAGAUGAGAUUUCCCAUAGCGUAAGCUAGUAAGAUCCCUGAAAGAUGAUCAGGUUGAUAGGUUCGAGGUGGAAGCAUGGUGACAUGUGGAGCUGACGAAUACUAAUAGAUCGAGGACUUAACCAUAUAA